Molecule: long non-coding RNA, 1598 nt
Filed under: Salmo salar (Atlantic salmon)
Lineage: Eukaryota; Metazoa; Chordata; Actinopteri; Salmoniformes; Salmonidae
Description: lncRNA (ENSSSAG00000110037.1)
Source: RNAcentral
AGCCAAUGAGUGACAAGGUGUAGGCAAGAGCACAAACAGAUCUGGGACCAGGCUAUAGAAGGAGACAACAGAUCUGGGACCAGGCUAUAGAAGGAGACUACAGAUCUGGGACCAGGCUAUAGAAGGAGACAACAGAUCUGGGACCAGGCUAUAGAAGGAGACUACAGAUCUGGGAACAGGCUAUAGAAGGAGACUACAGAUCUGGGACCAGGCUAUAGAAGGAGACAACAGAUCUGGGACCAGGCUAUAGAAGGAGACAACAGAUCUGGGACCAGGCUAUAGAAGGAGACUACAGAUCUGGGACCAGGCUAUAGAAGGAGACAACAGAUCUGGGACCAGGCUAUAGGAGGAGACAACAGAUUUGGGACCAGGCUAUAGAAGGAGACAACAGAUCUGGGACCAGGCUAUAGAAGGAGACAACAGAUCUGGGACCAGGCUAUAGAAGGAGACAACAGAUCUGGGACCAGGCUAUAGAAGGAGACAACAGAUCUGGGACCAGGCUAUAGGAGGAGACAACAGAUCUGGGACCAGGCUAUAGAAGGAGACAACAGAUCUGGGACCAGGCUAUAGGAGGAGACAACAGAUCUGGGACCAGGCUAUAGAAGGAGACAACAGAUCUGGGACCAGGCUAUAGAAGGAGACAACAGAUCUGGGACCAGACUAUAGAAGGAGACAACAGAUCUGGGACCAGGCUAUAGAAGGAGACUACAGAUCUGGGACCAGGCUAUAGAAGGAGACAACAGAUCUGGGACCAGGCUAUAGAAGGAGACAACAGAUCUGGGACCAGGCUAUAGAAGGAGACAACAGAUCUGGGACCAGGCUAGCAUUACAAGGCAUGUCAGUUUGCUGGUCCGAAUCAGUUGGGUUGCCAGGAAAGGGGGUCUGAGUUAAUAAUUUGCCCACGGCAUGCAGUGUCCUGCCCUGUCCGCCUCCCUGAAGCUUCUAGAUAUAUCUGAAUAGACCCUAAAACAGACACAGGAAGUCUAUCUGCAUCAGGCUGCAUGAUAAUGUCAGAACUGCCGCCCGGAAUGCAGUGACAAGCUCUCAGACCAACGCUUGAUUGGAUCCUUAUCAUAGCAAUGCUGUUCCUGAUUGGAUCGCUUAUCAUAACCAUGGUCGGCUCUGUGCUAAUGUUAUGAUAUUCAGGUUACGUCCCAAAUGGGCAACCUAUUCACUAUAUAGUGCACUACUUUUAACCAGAGCCCCUAUUCCCUAUAUAGAGCACUACUUUUAACCAGAGUCCCUAUUCCCUAUAUAUAGUGCACUACUUUUAACCAGAGCCCCUAUUCCCUAUAUAGAGCACUACUUUUAACCAGAGCCCCUAUUCCCUAUAUAGUGCACUACUUUUAAUCAGGGUCCUAUAGGCCCAGGUCAGAAGCAGUGUACUGCAUAAGGAACCUGGUGCCAUUUGCGACGCAGCCUGAUUAUGAGCCGUGGAUGCCUUGCCUGUAUGAGGUAGCUGCUAUCUGCAGUCUGGACUUUCCCAUGUAUAAUAAUCACAGAGUGGAACGUGUGUGUGGUAAAACUACAAAAUAGCAUUAUGACCACAGGAUAAUGUCAUGCAAAGAGAGAGAGAGAGAGAGAGAGAGAGAGAGAGA